Molecule: long non-coding RNA, 414 nt
Filed under: Dendronephthya gigantea
Lineage: Eukaryota; Metazoa; Cnidaria; Anthozoa; Malacalcyonacea; Nephtheidae
Description: uncharacterized LOC114538122
Source: RNAcentral
GACGAAACUGGGCAGAUUCUGUGGAAACCAAUUACCAAGAAGCCUGGUAUCAUCUGGACUCAAACUCUUCAUCGUGUUUCACUCGGAUUAUAGCGUGUCAGCACCGGGAUUUGUUCUGAACUAUUCAACACCAUUAGAUGUAAAUGAAUGUUACUUUGGAACACACAACUGCGCUAUUGGAGCGUCAUGUGUCAAUACGAAUGAAUCGUUUUACUGCAUUUGUGAAAACGGUUAUACCGGAGAUGGCGUAACCUGCACAGAUAUCAAUGAAUGUGAACUUGGAAUUGAUAACUGUCAUUCUCAAGCAUCAUGUCGCAAUACCAAUGGGUCGUUCGACUGUUCUUGCAACUUUGGCUUUAGUGGAGAUGGAAUAGCAUGCAACGCGACAAGACCUUCUAAUACAUCUAAUCCAGG